AGGACGAACGCUGGCGGCGUGCUUAACACAUGCAAGUCGAGCGGUAAGGCCUUUCGGGGUACACGAGCGGCGAACGGGUGAGUAACACGUGGGUGAUCUGCCCUGCACUUCGGGAUAAGCCUGGGAAACUGGGUCUAAUACCGGAUAUGACCUGCUCUCGCAGUGGGGGUGGGUGGAAAGAUUUAUCGGUGCAGGAGUGGGCCCGCGGCCUAUCAGCUUGUUGGGUGGGGUAAUGGCCUACCAAGGCGACGACGGGUA
RNAcentral lists this ribosomal RNA (258 nucleotides) under uncultured soil bacterium. RNAcentral's name for it is "partial 16S ribosomal RNA". It matches the Rfam family "Bacterial small subunit ribosomal RNA", at positions 26 to 285 of the family's 1533-position model. The record is from RNAcentral.